This 84-nucleotide small RNA is filed under the name Marmota monax (woodchuck). Lineage: Eukaryota; Metazoa; Chordata; Mammalia; Rodentia; Sciuridae. The record is from RNAcentral.
GCUGGAUGUGGUGGCUUACAUCUGUAAUCCCAGCUACUUUGGGAGGCUGAGGCAGGAGAAUCAUGAGUUUGAAGCCAGCCUCAG